RNAcentral lists this long non-coding RNA (1007 nucleotides) under Salmo salar (Atlantic salmon). RNAcentral describes it as "lncRNA (ENSSSAG00000105924.1)". The record is from RNAcentral. Lineage: Eukaryota; Metazoa; Chordata; Actinopteri; Salmoniformes; Salmonidae.
UAGACUAACAUGGUAAUGUAGUAGACUAACAGGGCAAUGUAGUAGAUUUACAGGGUAAUGUAGUAGACUAACAUGGUAAUGUAGUAGACUAACAGGGUAAUGUAGUAGAUUUACAGGGUAAUGUAGUAGACUAACAGGGUAAUGUAGUAGACUAACAGGGUAAUAUAGUAGAUUUGCAGGGUAAUGUAGUAGACUAACAUGGUAAUGUAGUAGACUAACAGGGUAAUGUAGUAGACUAACAGGGUAAUGUAGUAGACGGACAGGUUAACGAUGAAGUCUCAUCCACCACUUCUCAUCCUUCCCUAAACAGAAUAAAGUUGUCAUGAAACACACCAUUUUAUUUAAAUAUAUCUAUUCCUAAUAAACAUUUAUCAUCAAUUUCAUUAUUGGAAAAUAUGUCGAUAUUGUAGAUAUUUCGAUGGAGGAGGUAUUUUCUUGUAUAUUCAUAAAAAGUUCAUACUAAAUGCUCAACUCCAUGUGAUGCUGUCUUUGGAAAAUAGACAUCUGAAAGCAUACUGCCACUGGUGUUGCCAGGAUGAAGCCACUGGUGUUGCCAGGUUACUGCCACUGGUGUUGCCAGGAUGAAGCAACUGGUGUUGCCAGGAUGAAGCCACUGGUGUUGCCAGGAUGAAGCCACUGGUGUUGCCAGGUUACAGCCACUGGUGUUGCCAGGUUACAGCCACUGGUGUUGCCAGAAUACCUCCACAGAGGGUUAGGGUUCAGGUGUGACAGCCCUUCAGUAAUAUCAGGGGUUAGAGGUUCAGUUGUCCAGCAGUUGUCGGAGCGCUCUCUCAAUGUUCAUGCGGUGUCCGACUCGUGUCACGCCCAGUUCAGCGAAGUCAUCCUUGGUGAGGGCAGGGAGGUGGGAACCCUCAAUCUCAUGCUCCUGGAAGCGGGCACGAUGCUCUGCCAAACCAACACUCUCCAGCCAGUCUCCCACAUCAUACUUACUCCACAGAGCUAGAGGGCGUUGGCGCCACGGCCGCAGGGCGAGCAGGGGGGAGCCC